UCGAGGAUCAUUCGCAAUGGGCGAAAGCCUGACGAUGCGACGCUGUGUGAACGAUGAAGGCCUUCGGGUUGUAAAGUUCUUUCGCUUGGGAGCAAGGGAAUUGGCUGAAGAAGCCGAUGACUUGAGAGUACUAGGUAAAGAAGCACCGGCUAACUCCGUGCCAGCAGCUGCGGUAAUACGGAGGGUGCAAGCAUUAAUCGGAAUUAUUGGGCGUAAAGGGCGCGUAGGCGGGUAGAAAAGUUAGGUGUGAAAUUCCGUGACUCAAUUACGGAGCAGCAUCUAAAACUGACUAUCUAGAGGUAAGACGGAGAAAAUGGAAUUCCACGUGUAGCGGUGAAAUGCGUAGAUAUGUGGAAGAACACCUGUGGCGAAAGCGGUUUUCUAGUUUAGACCUGACGCUGAGGCGCGAGAGCAAGGGGAGCAAACAGGAUUAGAUACCCGGGUAGUCC
Molecule: ribosomal RNA, 449 nt
Filed under: uncultured bacterium
Lineage: Bacteria
Description: bacterial SSU rRNA
Rfam family: Bacterial small subunit ribosomal RNA
Source: RNAcentral